This 674-nucleotide long non-coding RNA is filed under the name Carica papaya (papaya). Its description in RNAcentral is "long non-coding RNA (CPAP_LNC014752)". The record is from RNAcentral. Lineage: Eukaryota; Viridiplantae; Streptophyta; Magnoliopsida; Brassicales; Caricaceae.
AACACUUCAGUAGGCUAAAAAUUCUUCUCGUUCUCCUUGUUUCUCUGCCCUUAGCUGUCUAAUGUGUUUUCGAUGCAGGAUAACUAAGAAAAACCAUAAACUGUAAGGAAGAAAUGGUAAAGCUCGGUUAAGCCAUCGCACCAGAGGACCGGAACCACUGAUAAGCAUUCAUUUUACCCCGCCCUUUGCCAAGAAAUACCCCUUAACAUGAUUUAAAUAGAUUUCCAUCAAGGACCGGUUAAAACUGGUCUGAUUGAGAGGAAGAGCCAUCGUAGAAGGCGGACCAGGAGGCAGAGCACGACGUUGCCACCGCGUCAGAACUCCAACCCGACCUCCCAGUGUGAUUUUUGCCUUUUUUGUUGUUUCUUGCAUAUUUUCACACUAUCUUGACGUACGUUCAAUUUUAUCAUGAAACUCCAAGAAAUUCGAGAUCUGAAAAUCGUCGAGAAUCGUAGUGAAAAAAAAGGCGAUGUUCUGGAUACCAACGCAAGCUAAGAAUCUCUCACCCAUUUUCCAUGUUAUAACAAACUUAAAGCUAAUUAAUAUAAACAAACAUUUUAGAUAAUUGACGAUCUGUUGAUUAAUUAAGUACAGGUUGUCAAAGAAGCCAAUAAUCGGUCAGUCCAUGCUUGCUUAAUUGUGUUGAUUAUUUAUUCGGUCGCUUUAUUGUGUAU